Molecule: long non-coding RNA, 1056 nt
Filed under: Triticum aestivum (bread wheat)
Lineage: Eukaryota; Viridiplantae; Streptophyta; Magnoliopsida; Poales; Poaceae
Description: long non-coding RNA (TAES_LNC025865)
Source: RNAcentral
UGAGACAGCAAAUUUAAGAAAAAUUGUAUAGUACAAUACAUGUUUAGUACUGAAUCCUUCUCUCUAAACGAAAAGCAAGAUUUGAUUACUCCAUAUCCCUUUUCAGUUUAAUUAUCUCUGAUGUUGUUCAACGAAGAUGACCAGAAACUCUAAAAAUCCCUUUCAUCACUACAGAAAUUCAGCGCACAUAGCCGAUCAAAUAUAGCUGCAAAUCAUUUAUUUUCUUCUCAAAACUCAUUCCGUCCUGGAAGACUAGUAUGCAUAUCUGUUUUGUUCGGAUCACACAAAAGCAAAUGAUUUUCAGUCAGUAGAAUGGUAACGAAAUACACAGAAAAAGUUGUUCUACGGAAUCAAUAGCUCCCAGAAUCGCUUGUUCUAUUACCGAGCAAAGCAAAAUGGCCUAGUUCACCUAUGCCGGCCGAUUCACUUGGUGAUGUAUGCAGCGCUAGAACAAAAAAAAUCUUAGAAAUGGAAGAAUUCUGGGGCUGGGCAUUACGGAGCAAAGCACUGACUAGGAGAACGGCGCUAAUCUCCAAGCACCCCAGCGGGAGCAGGGCAGCUCGCGUUGGUGACCACGUCGGGGAGCGCAAGUGCCUGGGGUGGUCGUCAUCCCCGCGGCAGUCGUCGAAGUGUAGCCCCACGCCAGGGAGCAGCAGAUGCGUGGACAUGGUCGUCGCCGUCGCGAGCGCCGUCGACGCAGCCCCGUGUCAGGUGGAGCGGCAGAAACCUGGAGGUGGUUGUCGUCGACGCGCAACCUCCCUACCGCGGCUACGGCCUCCCCGGCGGCUAAAUCCGGCAACGAGAAGACGACCCCCGCCACGGUCUCAAGGCCUUGGCGCCGGCCUCCGGUGGAUCCCACAGCCGCCGCUUCAUCUGGAUGCGCGUGGGAAGCCGAAGACCCCGCCAGCCGUCGCCGGGGUGGUGGGGAGGCGCGUCGCCGGGGCAGGUGCCGGGCACGGGAGCUCCAUGGAGGGGAAGUGGUGUGGUGGCUUGCUCGUGAGUGGGUGGGUCGUGGAGACCGGGAGAGGAGAGGAGUAGUGCGGCCGUGGAGAGACA